Sceloporus undulatus (fence lizard) is the source of this 499-nucleotide long non-coding RNA. RefSeq lists it as uncharacterized. Lineage: Eukaryota; Metazoa; Chordata; Lepidosauria; Squamata; Phrynosomatidae. The transcript has 3 exons. The record is from RefSeq and is a predicted model, not a curated record.
AUCUGCCUUAAUAUUCUGCAAAAGCUAAGUAAUCCUAUUGAGAUUGUGCAGAGGAGGCUUUGGAUUUCACAACCAACAUCCUGGAGGAAAUUUAUGAGAUGCUUAAACUGUUACACCUCAAGAAGACAGAGCAGAGUGUGUGGACCAUAUUGGGCCCUUUUCAUGUGUGAUUUCAUGUAUAUAAGGUGGAACAGAACCACACUACUAGAUCCAACCAUGAAAUCACACUCUGUGCUGAUUCCUCUCCCUCAUUAUCUGCACAUUCGUGUUGGAGACCUGAAAAGAGAGAGCUCUUGCACAAUCUGUUGAAAGAGAAGAAAAACAAGGAGAAACAUUUGAUCCUGCAAUUUUCAGCUUCUGCCCUUCUCAUUUGCACAAAAAGAAACAGGAAGCCACAUAACAUGCCCUGAAGAAUGGGACAAACCAGGUUGUGCAGGAAAUCAAAAGGAAGAUGAAUUGUCAAAAAAGUUGAGUGAGGAUUACAUUCUUUGAUCUCCUA